This 60-nucleotide transfer RNA is filed under the name Batracomorphus lineatus. Its description in RNAcentral is "tRNA-Asp". The record is from RNAcentral. Lineage: Eukaryota; Metazoa; Arthropoda; Insecta; Hemiptera; Cicadellidae.
AAAAAUCUAGUUUAAAGAAAAUAUUAAUUUGUCAAAUUAAAGUUACGAAAGUGAUUUUUG